Molecule: long non-coding RNA, 850 nt
Organism: Grus americana (Whooping crane)
Lineage: Eukaryota; Metazoa; Chordata; Aves; Gruiformes; Gruidae
Exons: 3
Source: RefSeq, a predicted model, not a curated record
CCGCGCCGCGGCCCGUGCUGCUGCCUACCUGGGCCGGAGUGGCCAUAACCAGGACGGGCAGCUCGCUGCCAAGAUCCGGCCCCAGGGCUGCGGUGUGGCGGCCGGGAAGGCGCCGAGGCCCCGCGGUCUGGAAAACCCGGGGGCCGGUUACAGCUCGGGGAGAUUCCCACAAGGAUCCCCAUUUCACUUUUGAGAUAUGAAAUAACUGCCAGAAAAAGCCUGAUUUACUCCAAACUCACCAGUGCUUUGGAGGUGAAAAAGGAAAGGAGAAAAGAUGUGUUCUGUCCAACUCUGAUACGAUAACCGUAAUUCGGUAACCAGAGGAGUUCUCCCGGUGAUUGAAGAGAGAUGGAUCAUGUCAGGGCCCCAGUGCAGGAAGAGGCUGACAUGGCUGUGAGACACCUCACCUGGGACCUUCAGCCACACAGCUGCUGCCACUGGCCCAGGACCUCUAUUUAAGCUCUGGCCCAGGCAAUCAAUCUCUGUGUGAGCUCUGCUGUAAAUGUGCUUCUUUUUAGCCCUGCUCAUUGAGGUGGUGUUUUGUUUAGAUUUUGUGGGUUAAACUUGAGUUUGUUACUUCCCUUUGCCUGAUACUGGCUGCAUAGUUGGUGGGACCUGUUGCCACCACUGUCCCUGCUUUCCUUGUCCUGCCCUGGUGUGGUGGGACUAUGCUGUGUUGGUGAGGUCAUGCCUGUACUGUGCUCAUCCCCAGGUCCCCUUCCCUCACAGGGCAGCCCUGCUUUUCUUGCUCCAUAACAACUUCUGACUUGCUUUGCUGGUUACCUUAACUUCCUAGUUUGGAUUUUCUUUCAUUCCUGCAAAUACAAAGUCCAUCUAUAAAAGGAGAAGG